UGAUUAGCUAGUUGGUGAGAUAACAGCCCACCAAGGCGACGAUCAGUAGCCGACCUGAGAGGGUGAUCGGCCACAUUGGGACUGAGACACGGCCCAAACUCCUACGGGAGGCAGCAGUGGGGAAUAUUGCACAAUGGGGGAAACCCUGAUGCAGCAACGCCGCGUGAAGGAAGACGGUUUUCGGAUUGUAAACUUCUAUCGAUGGGGAAGAAAAGAAUGACGGUACCCAAAUAAGAAGCCCCGGCUAACUACGUGCC
RNAcentral lists this ribosomal RNA (257 nucleotides) under uncultured bacterium. RNAcentral's name for it is "partial 16S ribosomal RNA". It matches the Rfam family "Bacterial small subunit ribosomal RNA", at positions 238 to 509 of the family's 1533-position model. The record is from RNAcentral.